UGGGGAAUUAUGCGCAAUGGACGAAAGUCUGACGCUGCGACGUCGCGUGGGUGAUGAAGGUCUUCGGAUCGUAAAACCCUGUCGAGAGGGAAGAAAGAGCGGGCGCUAAUAUCGCCUACUUCUGACGGUACCUCUGGAGGAAGCCCCGGCUAACUCUGUGCCAGCAGCCGCGGUAAUACAGAGGGGGCAAGCGUUGUUCGGAAUUACUGGGCGUAAAGCGCGCGUAGGCGGUCGUAUAAGUCGGAUGUGAAAGCCCUUGGCUCAACCAAGGAACUGCGUCCGAUACUGGAUGGCUUGAGGUUGGGAGAGGGAUGCGGAAUUCCAGGUGUAGCGGUGAAAUGCGUAGAUAUCUGGAGGAACACCGGUGGCGAAGGCGACAUCCUGGACCAAUUCUGACGCUGAGGAGCGAAAGCCAGGGGAGCAAACGGGAUUAGAUACCCCCGUAGUCCCUGAGCGGGCUGGCAAGGCGCAU
Molecule: ribosomal RNA, 472 nt
Filed under: uncultured bacterium
Lineage: Bacteria
Description: bacterial SSU rRNA
Rfam family: Bacterial small subunit ribosomal RNA
Source: RNAcentral